ACAGUGCUCAGCACUCAGGAUUGAUCACAUGUACGUUGUGUUCCUGCUAACCAGGCCCUGACUCCCAGCUCACUCCUCCUGUGAAGAGAAGCCCUUUACUCCGUCCUCCUCAGGGAACCCUACAGAAAGCUUCCCACCUGCAGUACCUUUGUGCACCAGCAUGCUUCAAAUGGGUGUCAGGGUUGGCCUCAUUGAUCAGCGUUACAGGAAGGCUUCGAGGUGGCUCCCUGUGACCGUGUUGUGAGCAAACCAUUCCUGGCAUCCCACCUUGCAGAACUUGUGGAGAAGAAACAAAAAUAACCCAUAAUCCCACUGUUUUGAUGCCACUUACUGAUAUUUGAAAAGAGGUAAAAAUAAAAUAUGAAGACAGAAAAUCCCAUCAUGUAUCCAAAGGCAUGAAUGAAAAGAAAGAGCCUUCUACCAGGACCUCCUGCACCACCCAAGAGUGCCAUUUUCUCAGGGGCUGAGAAGAGCCCCUCCAACAGGGCAGUGACCCGCUUGCCACAACCCACCUUGGCAAAAGCAGUGGAUAUGCCCCAGGACUCCAGGAAGCAGUGUGGCCUCAGAGAGCUUGGUGAGAAAUGUGUGUGGGAAGCAAAGGGCAGCUGAUGACUCACUGCAUGCCCUUAACUCAGUCUCUUCGACUCCUGAAGCCUCAGUUUCCCCACCUGGGGUAUGGUGAUAAUCACCCACUCAGCCACGAUGCUGGGGAGUGCUAACAGUGCCUCCUGCAGCCACCUCCCAGAUAAACCACCAGUACUCCCAUCCUUGUUGGAGGGCCUGUUUUUAGGAAAACCCUGACUAAGGCAGGAAGCUCCCCGCACUGCAGCAGAGGGAGUCAGGAUGCUGAGCUCUGGGUGCCCCAGCUGUCUGGCUCACCAGCCAUGAGAUGCCAGGGAAUAAGGGAACCCGAGGAGAAGGAGAGAGAUGAGGGACCAGCUCCUCGGUGGAGGACGCAGAAUACACACAUUUAUUGAUGAGGUUUGCCAUCUUUUAUGGGCACAGUUUGUGGCACCACAAAACAAUUACAAUGGUGACUUUGAAGAUUAUUGAUCACAGAUCACCAUAACAGAUAUAAUGAUGAAAAGGUUUGAAAUAUUGUGAAAAUUAUCAGAAUAUAACAACAAGACACAAAGUGGGCACAUGCUGUUGGAAAAAUGAUGCUGAUAGACUCGCUUGACACGGGGUUGCCAGAAACCUUUAAUUUUUUUUUUUAAAUGCAAUAUUUGUGAAGCACACUAAAAUUAGGUGUGCCUGGGUAUUAUUUAGCUCUGCCUGAGUUUUGAACUUUAUAUAAUGGAGUCAUACUGUAUAUUUUCUUCUGUGCCUUGCUUCUUUUGCUCAAGAAUAUAUUUGUUGGAUUCAUCUAUUUUUAAUGUGAGUGUUUGUGGUUCAUUCAUUCUCACUUCUAAAUAAUACUCCAGUGUAUGAAUAUGCUGCAAUUUAUUUGCCCAGCCUACUGCUGGUGGAAAUUUGGGGUUUGAGCUAUUAUGAAUAUUGCUGUGAAUAUGGAUUUAUGAAACUCAAGGUUUGCUACUCCAAGUGUAGCCCUCAGAACAGUGGCAGAUUUUCAGGGUCCUAUCCCAGAUCUACUGAAUUAGAAUUUGCAUAUUAGCAAAAUUGUAUGCAUGCUAGAGUUUGAUAAGCACUGCUCUAUGUACCUAGGUUUACACUGAGAAGUAGAGUUGUUGAUCCUAAGGUAACCAUGCAUUAAAUCUUACAAUGAACAGGCAAACUGUUUUCCAAAAUGGUUAUGCCCAUUCCCACUCUACCCUAGUGAAGGACCAGAGUUUCUGUUGGCCCACAUUUCAUCAUCUCUUGGUAUUGACAAACUUUUACAUUUUACCAACCUGGUAAGUAUGAGAUGGUAUCUCUGUAGGAUUUUGCUUUUCAUUUUCCUUAUUACAGACAUGUCCCAAAGGAUACCACUGUGAUCUAAGCAGGCCACGCUUGGAGUAGCAGCCGGGAGCCACAGCUUUUCAUAUGGUGAAGGGCCA
Molecule: long non-coding RNA, 1997 nt
Filed under: Homo sapiens (human)
Lineage: Eukaryota; Metazoa; Chordata; Mammalia; Primates; Hominidae
Description: HSALNT0391604
Source: RNAcentral